GGAAGUAAAAGUCGUAACAAGGUUUCCGUAGGUGAACCUGCGGAAGGAUCAUUACCGAGUGCGGGAACCCAGUCGGGUCCCAAUCUCCCACCCGUGUCUACCACACCUAGUGUUGCUUUGGCGGGCCCACUCCUCCGGUGUUCCGCCGGGGGGGUCGUCCCGGGGCGCGGUGUGCCCCCGGGGCCCGUGCCCGCCAGAGGCACUCACUGUGAACGCUUUUGUGAAUGCGAGGAUUGUCUGAGUGACGAAAUGCAAUCGUUCAAAACUUUCAACAAUGGAUCUCUUGGUUCCGGCAUCGAUGAAGAACGCAGCGAAAUGCGAUAAGUAAUGUGAAUUGCAGAAUUCCAUGAAUCAUCGAAUCUUUGAACGCACAUUGCGCCCUCUGGUAUUCCGGGGGGCAUGCCUGUCCGAGCGUCAUUGCGAACCCUCAAGCACGGCUUGUGUGUUGGGCCGCCGUCCCCUCGUUUGGAGGGGACGGGCCUGAAAGGCAGCGGCGGCGUCGCGUCCGGUCCUCGAGCGUAUGGGGCUCUGUCACGCGCUCAAGGAGGGGUCCGGCCGGGGCCAUAGCCUCUGAAGGUCAAUUCUUCCAAGGUUGACCUCGGAUCAGGUAGGAGUACCCGCUGAACUUAAGCAUAUCAAUAAGCGGAGGA
RNAcentral lists this ribosomal RNA (650 nucleotides) under uncultured fungus. RNAcentral describes it as "eukaryotic LSU rRNA". The stretch from base 264 to 417 matches the Rfam family "5.8S ribosomal RNA". Lineage: Eukaryota; Fungi. The record is from RNAcentral.